UAAACGGACCAUCGAGUAUCCAUUGGAGGGCAAGUCUGGUGCCAGCAGCUGCGGUAAUACCAGCUCCAAUAGCGUAUAUUAAAGUUGUUGCAGUUAAAAAGCUCGUAGUUGGACUUGUGUGCGCUGUCCGCGGGUGGCCUGCGCCCAAAAGGGCGUUUCGGUUCGGCCCCGGUGGCGCCUUGAAAUCUGCAGCUGGGGGGACGUUGGCCUUAACUGGUCGGCGACCGCACGCCGGCUGCUCGGUUACUGUGAGAAAAUUAGAGUGUUCAAGGCAGGCAUUGGGUGCAAUUGAAUACAUUAGCAUGGAAUAAUAAAAUAUGGCUCCUGCCGUAUUUUGUAGGUUUUGACUGGUGGGAGUAAUGAUUGAUAGGGACGGUUGGGGGUGCUAGUAUUGAGCGGCCAGAGGUGAAAUUCAUGGAUUCGCUCAAGACUAACUUAUGCGAAAGCAUUCACCAAGGACGUCCUCUUUAAUCAAGAACGAAAGUUGGGGGAUCGAAGACGAUCAGAUACCGUCGUAGUCUCAACCAUAAACUAUGUCGACUUGGGAUCGGCGGUAGUUUUUUCAUUAAGACACUGUCGGGACCACGGGAGAAAUCAAAGUGUCUGGACUCUGGGGGAAGUAUGGUCGCAAGGCUGAAACUUGAAGGAAUUGACGGAAGGGCACCACCAGGAGUGGAGCCUGCGGCUUAAUUUGACCCAACACGGGGAAACUUACCAGGUCCAGAGAUGUAGAGGAUUGACAGAUUGAAGCUCUUUCUUGAUCACUUCGGUGGUGGUGCAUGGCCGUUCUUAGUUGGUGGAGUGAUUUGUCUGGUUAAUUCCGUUAACGGACGAGACCUCAGCCUGCUAGUGUAGUCGGCUGGAUUGCCUUUGGCGAUCCGUGAUUUCGACUUCUUAGAGGGACAAUCGACGCGCAGUCGAUGGAAGUUUGAGGCAAUAACAGGUCUGUGAUGCCCUUAGAUGUUCUGGGCCGCACGCGCGCUACACUGCUGGGCUCAGCGAGUUUUACUUGGCCGAGAGGCCCGGUUAAUCUUGUGAAAUCCCAGCGUGCUUGGGCUCGCCUCCUGCAACUGGAGGCGCCAACGAGGAAUUCCUAGUAGACGCAGGUCAUCAACCUGCAUCGAUUACGUCCCUGCCCUUUGUACACACCGCCCGUCGUUCCAUAAGAGUGAGGCAUCCGGUGAAUUCUCGGGAGAGCCUGGGCGUGGCCAGCAAUGGUCUGCUCGGGUUUGAACUUGCAUAAACUUGGUGCCUAUGAUUAGGG
RNAcentral lists this ribosomal RNA (1264 nucleotides) under metagenome. RNAcentral's name for it is "SSU rRNA". It matches the Rfam family "Eukaryotic small subunit ribosomal RNA", at positions 526 to 1783 of the family's 1831-position model. The record is from RNAcentral.